ACACUGAAACGCACCCAAAAACACACCCCCCGGCGCAAAAACCACCCCUGGAACAACCCAGCUGCACGGAACGCCAUCGGAAAUACCCCAAAACGGCUUGAAACGCACCCAAAAUGCCCCAAAAUGGCCUGAAACGCAAUCAAAAAUACCAUAAAAUGGCAUGAAACGCACCCAAAAUACCCCAAAAUGGCAUAAAACGCACCCAAAAUACCAUAAAAUGGCCUGAAACACGAUCAAAAAUACCCCAAAAUGGCUUGAAACGCACCCAAAAAAUACCCUGAAACACCCACUGCUCCAAACCGGCCUGAAACGCACCCAAAAUACCCCAAAAUGGCUUGAAACGCACCCAAAAAUACCAUAAAAUGGCAUGAAGUGCCCCCCAAAACAGCCACCGCGCCCAAAACCGCCUGAAACGCACCCAAAAAUACCCCAGCUGCCUGGAACGCGAUCAAAAUACCCCAAAAUGGCUUAAAACGCACCCAAAACAUAUCCCAUCUGCCUGGAACGCAACCAAAAAUACCAUAAAAUGGCAUGAAAUGCACCCAGAAAACACUCACCGCCCCCAAAACCAACUGAAACACACCCAAAAAAUACCCCAGCUGCCUGAAACACGAUCAAAAAUACCCGAAAACAGCCUGAAACGCACCCAAAAAAUACCCUGAAACACCCACCACCCCCAAAACCGCCUGAAACGCACCCAAAAAUACCCCCAAAUCUCAAAACUGCCUGAAACGCACCCAAAAAAGCACCCCCAAACCCCAAAAUGCCCCCAAAACACCCCAACUGCCUGAAACGUGAUCAAAAAUACCCCAAAAUGGCUUGAAAUGCCCCAAAAAAACACUCACCGCCCCCAAAACCGCCUGAAACGCCCCCAAAAAACACCCCCGAAUUGCCUGGAACGGGACCAAAAAACCCCCCAAACCCCAAAACCACCUGAAACGCCCCCAAAAAUACCCCCCAAACCCAAAGCCCCCGGAGAUGCCACCACUACGGACCCCUCGGAAGCUCCUGGAGAUGCCACCACCACCAGGGCUCCAUCCCAAGCCCCUGGAGAUGCCACCACCACCACGAUGGACCCAUCCGAAGCACCUGGAGAUGCCACCACCACCAUGAUGGACCCAUCUGAAGCACCUGGAGAUGCCACCACCACGGUAGACGUGUCCAAACCAUCCCAAGGUGCCACCACCAGCACCAGGGCUCCAUCCGAAGCACCUGGAGAUGCCACCACCACCACCAUGGAUCCAUCUGAAGCACCUGGAGAUGCCACCACCUCCAGGGCUCCAUCCAAUGCCCCUGGAGAUGCCACCACCACCAGGAUGGACCCAUCUGAAGCCCCUGGAGAUGCCACCACCACCACCAGGGCUCCAUCCGAAGCCUCCGGAGAUGCCACCACCCCCCCAUCCCCUGCCAAAAGGUGGGCGGGGCUCCUCGAGGGGGCGGUUCCUCUCGUGGCCCCGCCCCUUUCCCCUCCCCCUCGUGCAUCAUUGGACAAUAAAAGGCUGAGUCUCCGCCUCCAUCUCUCUGGCCCCGCCCCCCUGAAGGGGACCCCAAAAACUCACCCAUUUCGGGGGUUCCACCGGCUUUUAUUUGUGCCCCGCCCCCUCCAGCUCCCAGCCAAUGGCAGCGCAGGGGCUGCUAUUUCCCCCCCCAACUAUUGACCAAUCCUGUGCCCUCCAGGGCUCCAUCCAAUGCCCCUGGAGAUGCCACCACCACCAGGAUGGACCCAUCUGAAGCCCCUGGAGAUGCCACCACCACCACCAGGGCUCCAUCCGAAGCCUCCGGAGAUGCCACCACCCCCCCAUCCCCUGCCAAAAGGUGGGCGGGGCUCCUCGAGGGGGCGGUUCCUCUCGUGGCCCCGCCCCUUUCCCCUCCCCCUCGUGCAUCAUUGGACAAUAAAAGGCUGAGUCUCCGCCUCCA
RNAcentral lists this long non-coding RNA (1917 nucleotides) under Calidris pugnax (ruff). Its description in RNAcentral is "lncRNA (ENSCPUG00000013342.1)". The record is from RNAcentral. Lineage: Eukaryota; Metazoa; Chordata; Aves; Charadriiformes; Scolopacidae.